This 429-nucleotide ribosomal RNA is filed under the name Actinomycetes bacterium. RNAcentral's name for it is "Actinobacteria bacterium partial 16S ribosomal RNA". It matches the Rfam family "Bacterial small subunit ribosomal RNA", at positions 355 to 776 of the family's 1533-position model. Lineage: Bacteria; Bacillati; Actinomycetota; Actinomycetes. The record is from RNAcentral.
UAGGGAAUCUUUCGCAAUGGGCGAAAGCCUGACGGAGCAACGCCGCGUGAGUGAUGAAGGUCUUCGGAUCGUAAAACUCUGUUAUUAGGGAAGAACAAAUGUGUAAGUAACUAUGCACGUCUUGACGGUACCUAAUCAGAAAGCCACGGCUAACUACGUGCCAGCAGCCGCGGUAAUACGUAGGUGGCAAGCGUUAUCCGGAAUUAUUGGGCGUAAAGCGCGCGUAGGCGGUUUUUUAAGUCUGAUGUGAAAGCCCACGGCUCAACCGUGGAGGGUCAUUGGAAACUGGAAAACUUGAGUGCAGAAGAGGAAAGUGGAAUUCCAUGUGUAGCGGUGAAAUGCGCAGAGAUAUGGAGGAACACCAGUGGCGAAGGCGACUUUCUGGUCUGUAACUGACGCUGAUGUGCGAAAGCGUGGGGAUCAAACAGG